This 1612-nucleotide unclassified non-coding RNA is filed under the name Dimorphilus gyrociliatus. Its description in RNAcentral is "dgyrCDS12342". Lineage: Eukaryota; Metazoa; Annelida; Polychaeta; Dinophilidae. The record is from RNAcentral.
GAAUUGAUCUGACGGUCAAAUUAAAAAUUUCGAUUAAUCUAUACAAUUAUCUCAACAUUAAAUAAAUAACUGUGCUGCAGAAAUAUCAAUGAGAGCCAUAGGCCUGAUAAUCGAACGCCCGUCUAUAAAAGCAAUUUUGUAUCAAUAACCAGCGACAGGUACAAGAUUUAGUUUGGAUUAUGUGUUUUCUAGACAAUAGAUAUGUAUAUAAAAGCUUUUUGGAAUGACAUCGAUCUUUGGAUAUAAAAAAAUCCUGUAUACAAGAAAGUAUGUGUGCUGGAAUCGAAAUGAUUGUCAUCUAUAAAUUACUGUUAACCGUCUAAGGUUUUCAUAUAAAGCCCAUGAAAUGUAUUAUAGAUUGUAUAUAUGUUUAGUAUAUAUAACACAAAAUAUAAUAUGGAAACUUAUUGAUGUCCUUGAUUAUUAUUUACUUUCAAAGGGGAAAAAGGGUGUUAAAAUUUCUAAUCAAUUUUUUCCACACAGGUAACAAAGACUUUAUGCAAUCAAACCGCUGCGCUUAAUAUGAGUCUGAUGGGUGUCGAAAAUUUGACGUCAACCAUAGCCAUGGAAAAAGUGCACUCUAAUAGAACUAAGUGCAUUCAAACCUGUCAGCAGGCUCGAAAGCUUUUACCAGAUUUAGGUUUAACAGAGAUAGAUCAAGAUGAAAAUGACACAGAGCAACUCACUUUAGCGUUAACAAAAUUUGAAGAUAAUCUGGAAUACUUACUCAAAGAAUUUUCUAUUGUUGUUUGUUUAUCUACCGCCGUGCACAGAAUAGAGCAAAAUAGAGGUAAAUUAUCCGAAAAUACUUUGGAGAAAAAAUUUGAAGCUGAUGAAAAUCUAAGAGAUAUUCAGCAAUUAAAAGCCAAAGUACAAAGCGCCAAAACCGCUUUACAUUGUCGACAGAAACCAGAAAAUACAGAUUUUCAGAGCGAUGUGGAUGCACCUUACAGGAAGCGCAAUAUAGGAAAAUACGAGAGAAAUCACAUGUCUAGAUCAAGAAUAUUUUGCUGUAUGUGGAGGAGCGAUUACAUGUAACAACACCUUUUAGGAAAUAUAUACCAUAUAUAUAAAUAUAUACAGUGAAAUAAAUAGUAUAUAUAUAUAUAUACUAUAUAUACACAAAAAAUAUAAUAUUGAAAAAAAGCGAAAGGAAAGAAAAGUUCAGCUUUCUUAACUUGUUUUGAAUCUACCGAUUUUUCUUACUUUUAUACAAUCUUCUAAAGGCCCAUUGAAUAAUCUCCUGUAAUAUUCUUCUAAUUCUGUCUUACUUCUUAUAUAGCUAUUAUAUUUUCUAAAAGAAUGAAAGUCAGUUCGAGAAGUCCAUUUUCGAUUCUUCUUUAACUCUUCAUCAUUUUCUGAUAUACGUCUAUCGUUUCUUCUUUUCUCUAACAAAAUCCGUGCUCUGAAUAAUAGAUCAUCCUUUCUUCUUUCAAAAUGAGAUCGCCAUUCUUCAUAUUGCAGCCUCUGGUUGUCUAAUUUUAUUUUCUGUUCGUCUAGUGUAUCCUGUAAGUUUUCAACAGUCGAUAAAUCCGACUCGGAUUUAGAGAAUUCGUCCAUUAUCAAAGGAAAUUGUAUCUAAAAUAUUCUUAUUGAAAGAUAAUCCUUUUUU